ACCCACGGUUGAAGACAAGGAUGUACAUCUUCCGAGAGCGGUUCCGGUACUGGGUCUGGGAGCCCACACACUCAUCCACAUAGAGCUUCAUGGCCCAGUUUAGCGCAGGCUGGAUGCGGGCUUCGAGGGUCAGCCACGAGCCUUCCACGUAGGGAGGCAGCAAGGCAUCUGAGGGAAGCGGGUCAUUCCUGGUAAGCAGUCACGGCCAUCCUCUAACAAGCAUCUCCUGCACGCCUGGUCAGUCACAGCCACGUUUCCAUUUACUCCUGAAUGGUUCUAGAAGUGUUCUUUAUGUCCAUUUUACAGAUGGGGUGAUGGAGGCUUGGAGAGGUGGCUGAACUUCAGCUCUCUUACCCUGGUCUCAUCUACCAUGCACACCUGUCCCACCAGGGGUGGAAGGCUGAGGCCAGAAACAGGAUGGUGCCCAUGGCCCACAUUUUGCCCUCCUCUGGGGCAAUCCUCAGGGGUCCACACUCCAUCUCCCUCCACACACGCCAGCCGGAGACUCACCAUGUGGUACCCGGAGGGCCACCUGCAGGGGCAGCAUGGUGGGGGGGCGGGGUGAGGGCUCCUUGGAGGGGCCCUCCAGAGGGCCAGGUGGGGUCUAGGAUGGGCCUGCUGCUGCAGAAUUGUUCAUCUCCUGCCCGAGGAGCAGCCUGGGCUGGGGGGCUGCAGAAGAAGGGGCACCAUCAAGAAGGUCCAGUGGGUCCCCACAGCCAGACUGGAGGACAGGCUCCCUCAGGGGAGGGAACGGGAGUGAGAGGGCUGAAGGGAAGCUGCUCACAUGAGUAUCAUCACAGCUGCCAUGAGGGGUACUCACCCACCCUCUGUGAACCGCGUGACCGCCUCCAUUUCCCAGACGUACAAACUGAGCCUGGGAAGUCCUGCCACCAUCUGCCCCUGGUUGCACGCAGCUUAUCAGCUGCAGAGCUCAGAUUCAAACUCCCAAGGGCUUUUCCAGGAACAUUUGAAGGUUGGAGGUGUUGUAUGGCAAGAUUCAGAUGAUACCAAGCGGUGUUAACAUGAAAGCUGAGUUUCCUUUCCCCUCUCCCUACCACUACUUGCUUUUUGUCCCUGUGAGCAACCGGCCUGUGUGUAGCACGCUCACCCCUGCAAGGUCCCCAGCUAAUUCUUUGUACCCUUUGGACUCCUGACCACCUUGCACACUGCCUCUGAGAGGAUUAUCUUGACCCAGAGGGCCUAGGGCAGACGAAGGACCAGAAAGGAGUUUGGGGGUUUUUUAAAAAGAAGAAGAAUGUAAGGCAUUUCUUUAGUGUUUGUUUAAUGUCUACUGCAUGCCAAGCUCUGCCCUAGAGGCCAGGGGUGCGGAGGGGGCGGUGAGCCUCAAGAAGCAGGAUUACCCUGGACUCCAGAGGGUCCUGUUUGGGAGGAAGUCCCCUCCUCCCAGUAUCCCCAGGCUGCCAAGUCCAGCUCCUGCAGCAGCCCAGGCUGGGCGAGGUGGGACGAGUUAUCCUUGAGGGGGCUCACCAGGUACACGGCUGGCAGGGGGAGGCUGAGCUCAGGGGCAGGGAGGGCAGAAGGAGGACCCCCACGCACCUCUCGAGCUCCCAAGCAAGCCCCAUUGCCCAGACCUUACGGAGCAGCAAGACCACAGCAACCUGCAGAAGCCCCCUAGGGGCUGCCAUAAUGAACAGAAACC
This 1660-nucleotide long non-coding RNA is filed under the name Equus caballus (horse). Its description in RNAcentral is "lncRNA (ENSECAG00000060365.1)". The record is from RNAcentral. Lineage: Eukaryota; Metazoa; Chordata; Mammalia; Perissodactyla; Equidae.